Molecule: transfer RNA, 71 nt
Filed under: Liogluta microptera
Lineage: Eukaryota; Metazoa; Arthropoda; Insecta; Coleoptera; Staphylinidae
Description: tRNA-Trp
Source: RNAcentral
AAGGAUUUAAGUUAAACAAACUCGUAGCCUUCAAAGCUUCAAAUAAAGACGAUAUUAUUCUUUAAGCCUUA